RNAcentral lists this long non-coding RNA (259 nucleotides) under Lathyrus oleraceus (garden pea). RNAcentral's name for it is "Pisum sativum (pea) long non-coding RNA (PSAT_LNC041395)". The record is from RNAcentral. Lineage: Eukaryota; Viridiplantae; Streptophyta; Magnoliopsida; Fabales; Fabaceae.
GACAUUCAAUAUCAUACUCGGAUAACACCAUCUGCCAACGGGAAAUUCUCCCAGUUAAAGUAGGUUUCUCAAACAUGUACUUGAUUGGAUCCAUUUUAGAUAUCAACCAAGUAGUAUGAUUUAACAUACACUAACACAUACGCUUAGCAACCCAAGCCAAUGCGCAACAUGCCUUUUCAAGCAUAAAAUAUCGAGUCUUACAGUCGAUGAACUUCUUGCUAAGGUAGUAAAUUGCAUACUCUUUCUUUCCUGAUUCAUC